ACGUAGGGGGCAAGCGUUGUCCGGAUUCACUGGGUGUAAAGGGCGCGUAGGUGGAUUUGUAAGUCAGAGGUGAAAUCCUGCAGCUUAACUGUAGAACUGCCUUUGAUACUGUUAAUCUUGAGUUCAGAAGAGAGAAGCGGAAUUCCAGGUGUAGUGGUGAAAUGCGUAGAUAUCUGGCAGAACACCGAUGGCGAAGGCAGCUUACUGGAUUGUAACUGACGCUGAGGCGCGAAAGCGUGGGGAGCAAACAG
Molecule: ribosomal RNA, 251 nt
Filed under: uncultured prokaryote
Description: partial 16S rRNA
Rfam family: Bacterial small subunit ribosomal RNA
Source: RNAcentral